Molecule: transfer RNA, 72 nt
Filed under: Balaenoptera physalus (Fin whale)
Lineage: Eukaryota; Metazoa; Chordata; Mammalia; Artiodactyla; Balaenopteridae
Also listed under: 2 other names
Rfam family: tRNA
About the family: Transfer RNA (tRNA) molecules are approximately 80 nucleotides in length. Their secondary structure includes four short double-helical elements and three loops (D, anti-codon, and T loops).
Source: Rfam by way of RNAcentral
UCCCUGGUGGUCUAAUGGUUAGGAUUCUGCACUUCCACUGCUGUGGCCCGGGUUCAAUCCCUGGUCAGGGAA